CCUACGGGUGGCAGCAGUGGGGAAUAUUGGACAAUGGGGGGAACCCUGAUCCAGCCAUGCCGCGUGUGUGAAGAAGGCCCUCGGGUUGUAAAGCACUUUCAGUGAGGAAGAACGCCUGGUGGUUAAUACCCAUCAGGAAAGACAUCACUCACAGAAGAAGCACCGGCUAACUCCGUGCCAGCAGCCGCGGUAAUACGGAGGGUGCGAGCGUUAAUCGGAAUUACUGGGCGUAAAGCGCGCGUAGGUGGCUUGAUAAGCCGGUUGUGAAAGCCCCGGGCUCAACCUGGGAACGGCAUCCGGAACUGUCAAGCUAGAGUGCAGGAGAGGAAGGUAGAAUUCCCGGUGUAGCGGUGAAAUGCGUAGAGAUCGGGAGGAAUACCAGUGGCGAAGGCGGCCUUCUGGACUGCCACUGACACUGAGGUGCGAAAGCGUGGGUAGCAAACAGGAUUAGAUACCCUUGUAGUC
Molecule: ribosomal RNA, 465 nt
Filed under: Vreelandella stevensii
Lineage: Bacteria; Pseudomonadati; Pseudomonadota; Gammaproteobacteria; Oceanospirillales; Halomonadaceae
Description: partial 16S ribosomal RNA
Rfam family: Bacterial small subunit ribosomal RNA
Source: RNAcentral